Molecule: ribosomal RNA, 497 nt
Filed under: uncultured bacterium
Lineage: Bacteria
Description: partial 16S ribosomal RNA
Rfam family: Bacterial small subunit ribosomal RNA
Source: RNAcentral
GAUGAACGCUGGCGGCGUGCCUAAUACAUGCAAGUCGAGCGAACGGACGAGAAGCUUGCUUCUCUGAUGUUAGCGGCGGACGGGUGAGUAACACGUGGAUAACCUACCUAUAAGACUGGGAUAACUUCGGGAAACCGGAGCUAAUACCGGAUGAUAUUUUGAACCGCAUGGUUCAAAAGUGAAUGACGGUCUUGCUGUCACUUAUAGAUGGAUCCGCGCUGCAUUAGCUAGUUGGUAAGGUAACGGCUUACCAAGGCAACGAUGCAUAGCCGACCUGAGAGGGUGAUCGGCCACACUGGAACUGAGACACGGUCCAGACUCCUACGGGAGGCAGCAGUAGGGAAUCUUCCACAAUGGGCGAAAGCCUGACGGAGCAACGCCGCGUGAGUGAUGAAGGUCUUCGGAUCGUAAAACUCUGUUAUUAGGGAAGAACAUAUGUGUAAGUAACUGUGCACAUCUUGACGGUACCUAAUCAGAAAGCCACGGCUAACUACGUG